GCGGCCUUAGCUCAGCUGGGAGAGCGUCAGACUGAAGUCUCAACUUCAAUCACCUGUUAUCUGAAGGUCGUGUGUUCGAUCCACACAGGCCGCA
Molecule: transfer RNA, 94 nt
Filed under: Trichoderma longibrachiatum
Lineage: Eukaryota; Fungi; Ascomycota; Sordariomycetes; Hypocreales; Hypocreaceae
Also listed under: 2 other names
Description: tRNA-Phe
Rfam family: tRNA
About the family: Transfer RNA (tRNA) molecules are approximately 80 nucleotides in length. Their secondary structure includes four short double-helical elements and three loops (D, anti-codon, and T loops). Further hydrogen bonds mediate the characteristic L-shaped molecular structure. tRNAs have two regions of fundamental functional importance: the anti-codon, which is responsible for specific mRNA codon recognition, and the 3' end, to which the tRNAs corresponding amino acid is attached (by aminoacyl-tRNA synthetases). tRNAs cope with the degeneracy of the genetic code in two manners: having more than one tRNA (with a specific anti-codon) for a particular amino acid; and 'wobble' base-pairing, i.e. permitting non-standard base-pairing at the 3rd anti-codon position.
Source: RNAcentral